GGAGCCAGCAACUGUUUAAGACAUGAGAAGCCAAGCCUGCUGUACCUUUUUGCCAUUCUGGGGUCACACAUUCACUCACCUCUGCUCUUCUUUGUACAUCACUAGACCCUUCCAUCUUUUAAAUCUCUUGGCUUCUCUCCAUUUCCACUGCCAUGACCCUAGUGUAAAGGACUUUUCUUUUUUUUUUAUUGCCUGGGGAAACUGAGGCAGCCUCCUGAAUUUUCUCCCGAAUCCCACCCUUGCCCAUUUCCAGUCUGUGUCUCUCACUACAGCCAGAGGGAUUUUUAGAAAUGAACAGUUUAUUCAACAGAUUUCACUGAUCCUAGGAAAGACGUCAAAAUCAUAAGCACGGUGUGGAACUGGAUUACCACUCCCCCAUAUUCGGUGCCCUGUAUCGAAGUGCCCUGCUCGGUUGGAGGAUUAUACAGCACGGCCCAUGUUAUCCUCAGGCAUGGCAGAGGGGCUGCUGAACAGUGAAAACAGAUGUGAGCACACGCGUUAAGAACCAGGCUGAGGACCGGUGCUGGGUCUGAUGGGCUACUACGAGACAGGAAGACCAGCAACCCCCUGUCUUGGUCCUUCCAGGAGAAGCCUGUGUGGUCACUGACCUCUGUCGCCCUCCCCUCCCUGACAGGAACAGACAAACUUCCCCCUCUGGCCUGAGACACAGUAACUCCAAGCCACCUGUAGCAGCCUGGACCCCACCACAGAACUCUGCAGGUAGCCCUUCCAGAAAGCGCAGGCUGCCCAGAAUUCUUACAGCAGCGACCAUGUUCUUUUUAAAACUGACAGAACUUCCCAAGUUCGGAAGCUCCUAGGGGAUUAGCUGGUCACACAUCAAACCCAUCCGGGGAGCUUUGAAAAAUGAAGGUGCACGCGAACAGACAUUUCACCAAAGAAGAUACGCGGCUGGCAGGUAAACACACGUAACAAUAAUGGUCGACAACAUGGGCCAUCAGUGAGAUGCACCCCAAAACCACAGUGAGCUCUCGCCCCGUAGCUAUUAGAGUGGCUGAUGUAAAAAAAAAAAAAAAAAAAAAUAGUAGCAGCAUGAGACGCUGGCAGGGAUGCGGAGAAACCGGACCGCUGCUGCCUCGC
Neofelis nebulosa (Clouded leopard) is the source of this 1098-nucleotide long non-coding RNA. RefSeq lists it as uncharacterized. The transcript is spliced from 3 exons. NCBI's taxonomy places the organism in Eukaryota, Metazoa, Chordata, Mammalia, Carnivora, Felidae. The record is from RefSeq and is a predicted model, not a curated record.